Molecule: transfer RNA, 71 nt
Filed under: Rhodocyclales bacterium
Lineage: Bacteria; Pseudomonadati; Pseudomonadota; Betaproteobacteria; Rhodocyclales
Description: tRNA-Pro
Source: RNAcentral
GGCCAGCGCAACCUGAAGCGCGCCGGCCUUGGACGCCGGCGGCGGCGCGGAUUACAAUGCCGUCGUGGUCC